CCCAAGUCUCCUGGUACAUGAAUCACAAAUUCACGUACACUUAGGAAGACAACUAGCAUGUUGGCAUUUAUUGCUAGAAGAUUCAAGUACAAAAGCAGAUGCUGCUUACAGUAAUUGUGGUGAAACUGCACCUGGAAUAUUUUGUGCAGGUCCAGUCUGUCUACUAAAGGAAGGAUGUACUUCCCAAUAGGAUGUGCAACAGAGGUAUGUCCAGGUUGUUAUUCCGAGAAUUGGGGGAUUCUGAUUGAGCAAACUGGGCCUAUACUCUGGAAAUAUUCGAGAUUCUUAUGGGGGCUUGAAGGAUAGAUUCAAGGAUGAUGUUUCACCUGGCCGUGGUGAGCAGAACCAGGGGUCACAGUCUCAAAGGACUGGCCAUUCAGGACUGAGAUUAGAAGAAAUUUCUUUACUCAGAGGGAAGUGAACCUUUGGAAUUCUGUGCCCAAGAGGGUUGUGGAGGCUCAUUAACUGAGUGUAUUCAAGAUAGAGAUCAAGAGAUUUUUGGAUCUCAAGGAAAGUCAAAGUCGAGUUUAUUGUCAUGCGCACAAGUACAUGUAUGUGCAGGUACAGUGAAAAAUUUCACAGGCACAUAGCAUCAUAUCAGGAACAUUCACAAGAAAAACAUAAAUUAAACAUAAAUCAUACACAAUUUUUACAAGAAAGAACAAAAACUUUAAAACUUUAUUUAAAACUUUAAUUAUACAGCACAGUAACAGGGCCUUCCGGCCCAAUGAGCCCGCACUGCCCAUUUAAACCCAUGUUAACCUACCCGUACAUCUUUGGAAUGUGGGAGGAAACCGGAGCACCCGGAGGAAACCCAUGCAGACACGGGGAGAACGUACAAGCUCCUUACAGAUAGUGACAGGAAUUGAACCCUGGUUGCUGGUGCUGUAAUAGCAUCACACAAAGAGAUUUAAGUGGUCAUAGUGUUGCUAAACUGUAGUAGUUAGAGUUUUGCCAGUUGAUUCAAGAACCGAAUGGUUGAAGGGAAGUAGCUGCUCUUGAACCCAGUGGUGUGGGACUUCAGGCUUCUGAACCUCCUGCCCAAUGGUAGCUGUGAGAAGGUGGCAUGGCCCGGAUGGUGGGGAUCUUUGAUGACAGAUGUUGCCUUCUUGAGACAGCGCCUCCUGUAGAUAUUACGAAUGGUGUGGAGGGAUGUGCCCGUGAUGUAUUGGGCUGAGUUCACUACUCUGUAACUUCUUACUUUCCUACGCAUUCCAAUUGCCGUACCAGACCAUGAUGCAACCAGUCAGGAUACUGUCAACAGUACAUCUGUAGAAGAGUGUUCAAUGACAAACUUAACCUCCUUAACCUAAGAAAGUAAAGACUCCGGCACACCUUCCUUGUGAAUGUAAUCGAGGGAUAUGGAGUUGGUGUAGGAAUGUGGCACUAAGGAUCAAACUUCUGGAAAUCCAUAUCCAACCAGCACAGUGGGAAUGCCUUCACAGACUGCAACAAUCCAAGAAGAAUUUUCACCACCACCUUCUCAAGACCAACUGGACACAUAUGAUGAGUGCUGGCCUUGCCAGAAAAGCACAAAUUCCAAGAUUUAAAAGAAAUAUAUUUAUCUUCUACUUUUCCUCUUUCCAAGAAUAAAGAUUAUGCAUGUUACAGCAACACCCUCCGGGAUCUUCUCAUAUUACUGAACGUUAUAUCUUUGGAGAGAACUUUCAAGAGGUUGAAAUAGAGUCACAGAAUUUCAUGGCAUGGAAACAGGCCCUUCCACACUUCGAGCAGAGAGAUAAGUACAAGAUAUCAUGGCAGCACCCCCACUUCAGACACUGAGACCUGUUAGGUUCCAUCAUCACCUGAGCCAGAAGUUGCCGGAUGUCUGCAUCAUCUGCUCACGACAAGUGACUACAACUGCUGGACUGACCCCCACUGAUCCACUUUGUCAUUUCCAUCAAUCUGGACCCAAAAAAACAGCAGGAAUCGAAACACUGCAGCAAGCAAAUCAAUCUCAAUCUUGAAGACCCUGCAAAGAAAGAAGUUCUUGUUCGACUCACAUUCACCCCAACCAACAGAAGCCUUGGCGUGUCCACUUGCCCUGAAAUCAACCAUAAUUCGCAUCCAUGAAGGGACCAAAAGCUCAGUAAGAGAAGCGGUUCAACCAUGGAUUACAGGGAAAUUAAAAAUAGUAUUAAAUGUAAGAGAAAGGCUUAUAAAAUUCCCAGAAAAAUAUUGUAAACCUGAGGUUUGGGAAUGUUUUAGAAUUCCAUAGAACCAUAGAACCAUAGAACAAUACAGGCCCUUUGGCCCACCAUGUUGUGCUGACCUUUAAACCACGCCUAAGACUAACUAACCCCUUCCUCCCACAUAUCCCCCUAUUUUAAAUUCCUCCAUAUGCUUAUCUAACAGUUUCUUGAACUUGACCAACGUAUCAGCCUCCGCCACCACCCCAGGCAGCACAUUCCAUGCACCAACCACUCUCUAGGUCAAAAACCUCCCUCUGACAUCUCCCUUGAACUUCCCACCCAAUACCUUAAAGCCAUGCCCUCUUGUACUGAGCAUUGGUGCCCUGGGAAAGAGGCGCUGGCUGUCCACUCUAUCUAUUCCUCAAUAUUUUGUACACCUCUAUCAUGUCUCUCUUCAUCCUCCUUCUCUCCAAAGAGUAAAGCCCCAGCUCCCUUAGUUUCUCCUCAUAAUCCAUACUCUCCAAUCCAGGCAGCACCCUGGUAAAUCUCCUCUGCACCCUUUCCAACGCUGCCACAUCCUUCCUAUAAUGAGGCAGCCAGAACUGGACACAGUACUCCAAGUGUGGUCUAACCAGAGUUUUGUAAAGCUGCAUCAUUACCUUGCAGCUCUUAAACUCGAUCCCUCGACUUAUGAAAGCUAACAUCCCAUAAGCUUUCUUAACUACCCUAUCCACCUGUGAGGCAACUUUCAGUGAUCUGUGGAUAUGAACGCCCAGAUCCCUCUGCUCCUCCACAUUCUCCAGAAUCCUGCCAUUAACCUCAUACUCCGCCUUGGAGUUUGUCCUUCCAAAGUGUACCACCUCACACUUCUCCGGAUUGAACUCCAUCCGCCACUUCUCAGCUCAGCUCAGCUCUGCAUCCUAUCAAUGUCCCUCUGUAAGCUUCGACAGCCCUCCACAAUUCAGCAAACGAUGACGAAGAAAUUGAUAAAGGUAAAAUGGAUUAUGAGAGUUAAACUAGCAGGAAACAAAAAACAGACUGUAAGAGCUUCUAUAACAAGAGGAAAUGGCCAGCCGGAACAAAUGUAGUUCCCUUACAGAUAAGGGAGAAUUUAUAAGGGGAGUUAGGAUAUGGCAGAGGAAUUAAACAAAUACUCUGUGUCGAACUUCACAGAAGGCCCCAAAAAUCCUUCCAGCAGCAAUGAAGAAUCAAGGAUCCGGUGCAAAUGAGAAAAUAAAAGAAAUAAAUAUUAGUAAAAAAAAUUAAAGACAUUAUUGAAUCUGAAAUCUGAUAAAUCCCAAGGAGAUGAUAAUCUACAUUCAAGAGUUCUGAAGGAGAUGGUUAUAGGAAUAAUAAUCUGUUUAUUUUUUCCCAAAAUUUUACAGAUACUGGAAUGGUUCCUGCAGAUUAGUGGGUAGAAAAUGUGACCCCAGUAUUUAAGAAAGGAAGGAGAGCAAACACAGGGAAUUGCCAACAUGUUAGCUUGAUAUUGGCAGUUGCAAAAUUGCUGGAAUCUACAAUAAAGAACGUGAUAUCAAGACACUUAGAAGAUAAUAAUAUGGUUGAGCAGAGUCGACAUGGAUUUGUGAAUGUUUGUCUAAUCUAACGGAGUCCUUUAAGAAUUCAUCCAGCAGAGUAAAUGAGGAGAUUUAUUUUGAUUUUCAGUGGCUUUUAAUGAAGGAACAAUGUCAGAGAACAUUGGGGUUAAUGCACUAGCAUGGAUUG
Molecule: long non-coding RNA, 3857 nt
Organism: Pristis pectinata (smalltooth sawfish)
Lineage: Eukaryota; Metazoa; Chordata; Chondrichthyes; Rhinopristiformes; Pristidae
Exons: 4
Source: RefSeq, a predicted model, not a curated record